AAGCGUGCGCAGGCGGUUUUGUAAGUCUGUCGUGAAGCCCCGGGCGUUAACCUGGGAAUUGCGAUGGAGACUGCAAGGCUUGAGUUUGGCAGAGGGGGGUAGGAAUUCCACGUGUAGCAGUGAAAUGCGUAGAUAUGUGGAGGAACACCGAUGGCGAAGGCAGCCCCCUGGGUCAAAACUGACGCUCAUGCACGAAAGCGUGGGGAGCAAACAGGAUUAGAUACCCGGGU
RNAcentral lists this ribosomal RNA (230 nucleotides) under uncultured bacterium. RNAcentral's name for it is "partial 16S ribosomal RNA". It matches the Rfam family "Bacterial small subunit ribosomal RNA", at positions 563 to 791 of the family's 1533-position model. The record is from RNAcentral.